Long non-coding RNA from Falco peregrinus (peregrine falcon), 2040 nucleotides. RefSeq lists it as uncharacterized. The transcript is spliced from 3 exons. NCBI's taxonomy places the organism in Eukaryota, Metazoa, Chordata, Aves, Falconiformes, Falconidae. The record is from RefSeq and is a predicted model, not a curated record.
UUUACUUUACCUGUUAAACUGUCUUUAUCUCACGAGCUUUCUCACUUUUACUUUCGUAUUCCUCUCCCCCAUCCCACUGUGGGGAGAGUGGGUGAGCAGCUGCUGUGGGGCUUAGCUGCCAGCUGGGGUUAAACCACAACAGUCUAUGAGAGAUUUUCCACCGGUUGUUCCAGACUUUGGACGAGAUGUCUUACAGCCUUAUUGCAAGACUAAAGAAGAUAGAGGAUCUUUAUUGCAGGACAUGUAUCUAAAUAUCUGAAGUGCAAACAUAAAACAUCUUCCAGUUGUAUUAAGAGAGGUUAUCUGAGCUAUCAGACUCAGUAUUUGCUUCUCUGUUUUGGGGAACUGUUUUUGUACUGUUUUACAGGUUUUCUGGUUCGCGAAAAUCUUGCAAUUCACUUGUAAGUCUUCAAGUUAUAACCUUGCAAAGUAUAACAACAUCAGUGCCAAAAUUAAUUUCCAGCCCUGUAAAAGCAAACUAAUGUGUGAUGCAGACAAUGCACUGAGGUAAACACUUCGGUGUAAGGAUGUCACUUAUAUGAUUCAUGCUUUGAGUAGUAACAUAAAGGAGGCUGUACACAGUGUUAGCAAGGCAGAUGUCAUUACACUGUUUUCUUGCGUAUUAAAAGUUUAAAAGAAAGUAAAACUUCAAGCAUUGUCUUAACCUGUGUUUUAGUGGAGUUAUACUUGCUUCUGACUUUGUUACCCUACCUGGUCCGUUCUGGUUUCUGCAGUCAUGCUCUUCAGUUAAGGAUUGAGUUCAAGAGAGAAUUGGGAGAGUCUUGGAGAGUGGUGGGACAGGAUUCAGACUCUCUGAGAAUCGAAGGAGGGAAGUGCUGAUGUCUGAGGUGGCCUGGAGUGAGCUGACUCUACCUUCACUGAAGAGACUGAAAAGUGGAGAACAAGCCUCUGACCUUGCUGCAGAAGACUGGGAAGGGAGCAAUGCACCUGAGCAAGCCCCUGAGUAUGUCAGGAGAUACAAGUACUACUGCAGUGCCGGAAAGCACUGGAAAGCAGAGUUCUGUGAAUGAAGGUUUUGUGAUCUAAAUAAUCUCUGAGACUGGCAGGACCUUCACAAGGAUCAGAGGUCAGACCAAGCAAGGCUAGGUGGUGGAGCUGGUGGGAAGGCUUGUGAGCGCAGCCUUGGGUUCCCAGGGGAGAAAUUGCUUCCCUGCUGGCAGGAGCCCUUAUACUGUGCAAAGCCACUGGGACACCUGCAGUGUGGAUGCAAGAGGUAGGAAAAGAGCAGAGACUUGCUUACUGGUUUUAGCUGUUUGCAUCUGGUUGCCAAAACAUCUGAGUGUCCAUUGCAAUUACAUACAGGUUGCUAAAACAGAGACCUGGCUAAUUCCAUGGCUGAUAUAAGAACUGCUGCACUGAUGGUUUGUUGGGACAUCUGGAUUCUCCCAGAGAAAUUAGGAGGAUCCAGCAUGAAUAAACAAGCUGUUAAUGCUGUUACACCUGCAUCCUCACCGAGAGCAGGCUCCCAGCCCUGUCACUGCCCAUGGUCCCUUGUGCUCGACAGAGAGGGCUGCUGUGCAGCAUGCACCCUUACCUGCUGCUCGUGGGCUGCUUGCCUGGAUGGGUGUAUAAGAGGCGCACGAUGCGGUGACACUGCCAUGGCUGCAUGCACUGGGCUGGUAACUGGAGCUUGCAUCUGUGCACCAGAAGAGCUCCACAAUCCUCUAUUCCCACUGUAUCACCCAGGCGCUAAGCCUUUGACUCCAGAAAACACCACCAACAGUUGAAGGAUCUUCUAGGAAUGCCUCCAGGCAUGCGGGGCAGAUCCAAGUUUCCAAGACCUGCUGCAGCUGACGGCAGAGGCAUGUGAAACCAUUAGUAAGUGGACUCAGUAUGUCCACCAGGCUGAAAAAUAAGCCAGGACUGUGUCUUAAUUGUACUAAAUCAUUAAGUACCGGUCACUCCCCCUUGGUUGUAGUGGUUGUUUUUCUGUCAAGAGUCUGUCAAGCUUUUACCUUGGCAGUCAUCCAAAUGUCACAGUUGUGGAUGUGCAACUUGGAGGAAGAGAUCACAGCCAUA